RNAcentral lists this ribosomal RNA (253 nucleotides) under uncultured bacterium. Its description in RNAcentral is "partial 16S ribosomal RNA". It matches the Rfam family "Bacterial small subunit ribosomal RNA", at positions 524 to 776 of the family's 1533-position model. The record is from RNAcentral.
UACAGAGGGUGCAAGCGUUAAUCGGAAUUAUUGGGCGUAAAGCGUGCGUAGACGGUUACAUAAGUCGGGUGUGAAAGCCCCGGGCUCAACCUGGGAAUUGCAUUCGAGACUGUGUAGCUAGGGUACGGAAGAGGGAAGCGGAAUUUCUGGUGUAGCGGUGAAAUGCGUAGAUAUCAGAAGGAACAUCAGUGGCGAAAGCGGCUUCCUGGUCCAGUACCGACGUUCAGGCACGAAAGCGUGGGGAGCAAACAGG